Long non-coding RNA from Brienomyrus brachyistius, 600 nucleotides. RefSeq lists it as uncharacterized. The record is from RefSeq and is a predicted model, not a curated record. The transcript is spliced from 6 exons. NCBI's taxonomy places the organism in Eukaryota, Metazoa, Chordata, Actinopteri, Osteoglossiformes, Mormyridae.
ACGUAAUGCAGUGCUGAAGAUGGCCUAUCAGCUUCCGGUGGCCCUAAGGUAACGUAAUGUAGCGCUGAAGAUGGCCUAUCGAAUUCCGGUGGCCCUAAGGUAACGUAAUGUAGCGCUGAAGAUGGCCUAUCAGCUUCCGGUGGCCCUAAGGUAACGUAAUGUAGCGCUGAAGAUGGCCUAUCAGCUUCCGGUGGCCCUAAGGUAACGUAAUGUAGCGCUGAAGAUGGCCUAUCAGCUUCCGGUGGCCCUAAGGUAACGUAAUGUAGCGCUGAAGAUGGCCUAUCAGCUUCCGGUGGCCCUAAGGUAACGUAAUGUAGCGCUGAAGAUGGCCUAUCAGCUUCCGGUGGCCCUAAGGUAACGUAAUGUAGCGCUGAAGAUGGCCUAUCAGCUUCCGGUGGCCCUAAGGUAAUGUAAUGUAGCGCUGAAGAUGGCCUAUCAGCUUCCGGUGGCCCUAAGGUAACGUAAUGUAACGCUGAAGAUGGCCUAUCAGCUUCCGGUGGCCCUAAGGUAAUGCAAUGCAGCGCUGAAGAUGGCCUGCCGCCUUUCAGUGACCGUAAGGUAAUGUAAAAUAACAACGCUGAUAGCCCUAAGACAGCCCCA